This 1439-nucleotide ribosomal RNA is filed under the name Triticum aestivum (bread wheat). RNAcentral's name for it is "partial small subunit ribosomal RNA". Lineage: Eukaryota; Viridiplantae; Streptophyta; Magnoliopsida; Poales; Poaceae. The record is from RNAcentral.
UCGAUGUAGAGACAGUGUGUGAUCCGUUUAGUAAGUAGCGCUUCAAGUCUGUCCCUGAAACGUCGUCCUUUUGGUGUUGACUACGUUAAGAAAAUAAAUAUAACGUCAAUGUAAAAUGAUUGGAUUCGAAGUAAGUAUAUGGUUCCUUUCGACAAUAACCCUCUCGUCGUCUUAAGAAGGCCUAAAAGAAUAACGACUAAAACAUUUACGUCAAGUCUAAGAACAUGUUACACACACAUAAAGAGGGAGUAAGUUGAGUUAAAAAAGAAAACAAUAAUAUCUUCUCCAGGAUCCUACGUCGAACAUAGCUUUCGAUAUUAUUGUUAAGUUGACUAAACAGUAUGUGACCUCACUAGAUAUUACGGUAACAUAGUCGGAAAGUACUAAGGUAGGUAACUUAAAUGUUGAUUUACGCAUCGUUGCUGACAUGAUAUGAUUUGGACACUUAAUUCUAGGUUUUUGUAGUUACUUUGUACCUCUACAAGCCCACAUAGUCUAAGGCAAAGGGAAAACACCACCCAUUCUAACCUCGUUCGAGUGUAGUGGACCGCGAGCCGGCGCAGGCGCUGCUACCCGUCCGCGCCGCACUAGGGCUCGUCCGUCCGCGGGGGCGGCAUCUGCUCCCUCUGCUCGUCCUUCUCCUUCUGCCACAAGAGGUCCGACCACUUCUACAGCUCGGGCUACGGCGGCGGGCUCCCGCGCUUCCUGACGCGCUCCUCCAGGCCCUGCUACUCGUCCUGCAGCUCGCGCUGCCGGACGUACCGCAACUUCGCCUGCUUCGCCCUCUUCCGGACGACCAACGCCUGCUGCCGCUUCAUCUCCCACUACUUCUCCUCCUUCCCGCACUCGCCGCUCCUCACCUUCUCCGCGCGCCGCCCCGGCUCGCCCGACUCGUGCCGCAACUUCUGGCCCAUGACGCGCUGCUCCUUCGCCGGCACCACGCGCGGCAGCUCCUUGCCCAUCUCCAUCCGCUGCCGGCGGUGGUCCGCCAGGCCGCGGGGGUGGCGCAGCGACAACAGCAACAACCGCGCGCCGCCGCCCCGCUCCUCCGGCACCCCCGCCGCCCCCUCCUCGCGCCGCCGGCUUCUCCCCGGCUCCUCCCCCUCCGCGCGCGCCCGGCGCCCCCCCGACUCCUCCCUGCCCCGGCGCGCCACCUCGCCCGCGCCCCUGCUCUCCUCCUCGCUCUGCCGCCUCCGGUACCGCGCGCCCGCCCCCUACCGACCCCUAAAGACUCCCCGCACACACUCCCUACGCCGCCACCGCCUUCCCGCAAACCGAACCGCCGCCGCCGACGAACGGAGGCCCGCUCGCCCAAACCCCUGACCCUCGCCUCUAAAAACACCUCAAAACCCCCUACACCGGCUCACCCCCUGCUCCUCUAACCAACCACGACGACGGCACCACCCUUCCUUCCCUUGCCUCCGGCCGGUGGCCGCACU